GACGAACGCUGGCGGCGUGCUUAACACAUGCAAGUCGAACGCUGAAGCUUGGUGCUUGCACUGGGUGGAUGAGUGGCGAACGGGUGAGUAAUACGUGAGUAACCUGCCCUUGACUCUGGGAUAAGCCUGGGAAACUGGGUCUAAUACUGGAUACGACAUGCCACUGCAUGGUGGUGUGUGGAAAGGGUUUUACUGGUUUUGGAUGGGCUCACGGCCUAUCAGCUUGUUGGUGGGGUAAUGGCCUACCAAGGCGACGACGGGUAGCCGGCCUGAGAGGGUGACCGGCCACACUGGGACUGAGACACGGCCCAGACUCCUACGGGAGGCAGCAGUGGGGAAUAUUGCACAAUGGGCGGAAGCCUGAUGUAGCGACGCCGCGUGAGGGAUGACGGCCUUCGGGUUGUAAACCUCUUUCAGCACGGAAGAAGCGAGAGUGACGGUACGUGCAGAAGAAGCGCCGGCUAACUACGUG
This 472-nucleotide ribosomal RNA is filed under the name uncultured bacterium. RNAcentral describes it as "partial 16S ribosomal RNA". It matches the Rfam family "Bacterial small subunit ribosomal RNA", at positions 28 to 507 of the family's 1533-position model. The record is from RNAcentral.